GACAGAGGUGCCAAGCGUUAGGCGGAAUCACUGGGCUUAAAGCGUGUGUAGGCGGACUGGUAAGUACCUUGUGAAAUCCCACGGCUCAACCGUGAAACUGCUCGGUAUACUGCUCGUCUUGAGCCACUUAGGGGCUGUCGGAACAAACGGUGGAGCGGUGAAAUGCGUAGAUAUCAAGAGGAACACCUGCGGCGAAGGCGGGUUGCUGGGCCGACACUGACGCUGAGGCGCGAAAGCCAGGGGAGCGAACGGG
Molecule: ribosomal RNA, 253 nt
Filed under: uncultured bacterium
Lineage: Bacteria
Description: partial 16S ribosomal RNA
Rfam family: Bacterial small subunit ribosomal RNA
Source: RNAcentral